Molecule: long non-coding RNA, 772 nt
Organism: Carassius carassius (crucian carp)
Lineage: Eukaryota; Metazoa; Chordata; Actinopteri; Cypriniformes; Cyprinidae
Exons: 2
Source: RefSeq, a predicted model, not a curated record
CUUACAAACACACAGCUUUUCUCUUCACAAGAUGUUAACUGAUGGACCGGAGUGCUGUGGAUUAUUGUGAUGUUUUUAUCAGCUGUUUGGACUCUCGUUCUGACGGCACCCAUUCACUGCAGGAAGGAUCCACUGGUGAGCAAGUGAUGUAAUGCUACAUUUCUCCAAAUCUGUUCAGAUGAAGAAAACUCAUCUACAUCUUGGAUUGACUGAAAUGUUCAGUAAAUUUUCAUUUUUUCCUUGAACACCACUCCCGAUGCUCGUGCUGGUACACCCCUUGUUUUUAUAAAAUAAUAGAUUCAAUACAUAUACAUAUUUUAAAUGUAUUUUAAUAUUAUAGAAAUGUAUUUUAAUUUCAACCAGAGCUAAUGUUGAGAAGCUAACAAUAUGUCCCUGCUUUAUACUGUAAAAAAGCACUGCACAAAAUGACUAAUACUGUGUACAAGAUAGCAUCAGCCUACUUCUAGCACGGAUCAUGACAAAAUCAUUUAUGUGUGUCAAUCACAUAUCGAUUCUUUUGAGUGUUUGUGUACUUAAAAUGCUAAAAGCCUAACAUUAAAAAUCUGUGUUAAACUCUUAUUGUAUGUUAAAUUUGUAUUGUAUUGUAUGAUUAACAUAAUUUCCAUCAAUUAUUUGACACCCAAAGUCUGGAUUAACCAACGCUUUUCUUGUUUUACUUGUAUUUUUACAUUUGGACUAUGAUGAAGCAAACCACUGUGUUUCCAAAGCUUAUGUUAUUAAUGUUUCGGACAAUAAAGUUGUUAGUCUGUAA